GAUGAACGCUGACAGAAUGCUUAACACAUGCAAGUCUUUGGUGAAGCUGUGCUUGCACAGCCUAGCCAAGGCGGACGGGUGAGUAACGCGUAAGGAACUUGCCCUGCAGUCAGGGAUAACAGACGGAAACGACUGAUAAGACCUGGUAAAGUCAGGCGGACUCAUGUCCAGCCUGAUGAAAAGAGAUGCUGCAGGAGAGCCUUGCGUCCUAUUAGCUUGUUGGUGGGGUAACGGCCCACCAAGGCAAUGAUAGGUAGCCGGCCUGAGAGGGUGGACGGCCACAAGGGGACGAGGAUCCGGCCUUAAUCCCACCGGGAGGAGGCAGUGGGGAAAAUUGGACAAUGGGGCAACCCUGAUCCAGCAAUUCUGUGUGCACGAUGAAGGUUUUCGGAUUGUAAAGUGCUUUCAGCAGGGAAGAAAAAAAUGACGGUACCUGCAGAAGAAGCGACGGCUAAAUACGUG
This 462-nucleotide ribosomal RNA is filed under the name uncultured bacterium. RNAcentral's name for it is "partial 16S ribosomal RNA". It matches the Rfam family "Bacterial small subunit ribosomal RNA", at positions 28 to 507 of the family's 1533-position model. The record is from RNAcentral.